This 74-nucleotide transfer RNA is filed under the name Dehalococcoidia bacterium. RNAcentral's name for it is "tRNA-Gln". It matches the Rfam family "tRNA". From Rfam's summary of the family: Transfer RNA (tRNA) molecules are approximately 80 nucleotides in length. Their secondary structure includes four short double-helical elements and three loops (D, anti-codon, and T loops). RNAcentral also lists the same sequence under 1 other name. Lineage: Bacteria; Bacillati; Chloroflexota; Dehalococcoidia. The record is from RNAcentral.
UGGGGAAUAGUCUAGUGGUAGGACAGCGGAUUCUGGAUCCGUCAGGGUAGGUUCGAAUCCUACUUCCCCAGCCA